AUUCGAUCCCCGCAUAGACGUCCUCGGUGUUCUCGCGGAAGACGACGAUGUCGACCUUGUCCGGCUCCUUGACCGGAGAGGGUGUCCCCUUGUACCAGCGGCACGGACGGAUGCAGCAGUACAGGUCGAGCUCCUGGCGCAGCGUUACGUUCAGCGAUCGGAUGCCCCCACCGACCGACGUGGUCAACGGGCCCUUGAUCGCGACCCGCCAGUCCCCGAUCGCCCU
RNAcentral lists this unclassified non-coding RNA (226 nucleotides) under uncultured bacterium. RNAcentral describes it as "contains 16S-23S intergenic spacer region". The record is from RNAcentral.